Podarcis lilfordi (Lilford's wall lizard) is the source of this 338-nucleotide non-coding RNA. The record is from the annotation of a GenBank genome assembly. Lineage: Eukaryota; Metazoa; Chordata; Lepidosauria; Squamata; Lacertidae.
GGAUGUGAGGGCGAUCUGGCUGCAACAUCUGUCACCCCAUUGAUCGCCAGGGUUGAUUCGGCUGAUCUGGCUGGCUGGGCAGGUGUCCCCUUCCUCCCUCACCGCUCCAUGUGCGUCCCUCCCGAAGCUGCGCGCUCGGUGGAAGAGGACGACCAUCCCAGAUAGAAGGAGUGUACCGUUCUUCAGUCAAGGGUAUACGAUAGCUGCGCUCCCCUGCUAGAACCUCCAAACAGUGAGAUAAUCUCCUUUAUGAAGUAGGGUCUGGAUUUAUUGCAGAAUGUGGCAGAAGAACUUAAGCACUCAACAGAUGAUCACAGUUUUGGUUGGUCCAUUGAGUU